GGGCUCCGCAGCCGCGCGGACCGAGCGCCCGCCCCCGCCCGGGCUCCGCCCCCCGCGCGAGGCUCCGCCCCCCCGCCUCUCCGGCUCGCUCGCACGCGGGUGGAAGCAACACCCGGAGCCGGGAUCCCGGCCGGGGUCGGGAUGAAAGGGUGCAAGCCGGGAGCUCCCCGCCCUUCUCCCCCCCACCCCGGCCGCUCCCGGCCGCCUCGGGCUUGGCCAGCCUGGCGGAAAGAGGGGGAAGGGAAGAGCCACGGGUCCGCAGCUGCCGCUGUCGAGACGCCGGCAGGCUCGCAGGGCCGCGCAGCCGGUCCACUCCCCCUGGUACGAAACGGCCGUCGUGGGAAGUAGGAAGUUUCCCCGCCUCCACUUCUACUCGGGUCGCCGCUUCUCAGCAAGGUGGCCAGGGUACGGGGCAGCCGGAGGCUGCGAGGAGCCACGAGGAAGGGCUUUGACAGCAUUACUGGGGGCUCUGUAUCCAAGAAUCCGAUCCAGGGCUCCCUAUUCUUUCGGGGAAACUGCAUUUCUCUGCCCCCUCCCCACACACACACACGCACACACACGCACACACCCUUGCACGCACAACACGCCCCUCCCGGUCCUGAUUUCAUUCUUGCUCUCCCUCCUGGCACAAGAACCCCGCGCGCGACAUCCCACUGAAUGGACUUCCAGCCUCCCAGUCCUAAAGCCCAGAGAGGGGCGCCGAGAGUCCUCCGAAGCUCCGAAGCUACGGAAGGACGGCAGACCGAGCCGAGGAGAAUGCAAAAAGAAGGUAGCGGUUACACAGCAGCGUCCCCGGCGAAGAAGUAAGAAACGUUCGCUCUCGGAGCUUCAGAAGUUCACUGCGAAGCUGGGGUCCUGCCGCCUUAUCACGGCGGGGAUGAGCCUCACCCUGCACGUUUGCACCGAUAGGAGAUCGUAUCUGGUUCUGAUGUCAAUGUCACUACCGUGUCGGAGAAGAACGUUAUAUGAUAAAAUAUUUUCUAAUAUCCUCGAGACCAUUAAAGUGUCAAAGUUUAAUGCCAAUCCUUGUAGCUCGAAUGCUGCUCGGUUCUUCCUCUGA
RNAcentral lists this long non-coding RNA (1060 nucleotides) under Canis lupus familiaris (dog). RNAcentral's name for it is "lncRNA (ENSCAFG00040005679.1)". Lineage: Eukaryota; Metazoa; Chordata; Mammalia; Carnivora; Canidae. The record is from RNAcentral.